RNAcentral lists this long non-coding RNA (570 nucleotides) under Ictidomys tridecemlineatus (thirteen-lined ground squirrel). Its description in RNAcentral is "lncRNA (ENSSTOG00000030743.1)". The record is from RNAcentral. Lineage: Eukaryota; Metazoa; Chordata; Mammalia; Rodentia; Sciuridae.
AUAGUAAUUAAGACUCUGCAACUCAAUAAUGACAUUAAUUUUAACAGCGCAUCUGUGAGAUUUGUUCACCAAAGUGCUUUGAUCAUUUUUCUCGGGAUGCACUUCAAAUGGAAAAGCAUAUUGUGGAAGAACUGAGCCCUCUGUCUUCUCCUGUGAUUGCAUCAAGCAAGCCCAAGUUGCCUAAAGCAGAGGAUGCAAGAAAGGAGGGCACACCAGUGUCCCCCGUGGGUAUGGAAAUCAAGAAUGUUUUGAAUGAGCCCUUCUGCCGAAAGUGUAUAUGUCAGGCAAUCGGUGGAGGCAAAGUUCUUGGAUCAGAAAUGAAUGACCCCUUUCACUGGACUCUACACAAUUGGUGCUCACUGACUUCUAGCACAACUGCAGGAACAGCUCAGGUGUUGGGAGUGCAGCGCACUGAAGAACUCCCAUAGGUGUCAAGGAACAUAUGUGCCAUCACAACUUUCCUCACUGUGCCUCUUUCCGGUGGCAUCCAUUCGCUUUCCUCUUUGAUUUAUGGCUAUUGCAAAGAGUCUCAGGGUUGGAAACUUCACUGCUUGUGUUGAUUCAACCUAC